ACGAACGCUGGCGGCGUGGAUUAGGCAUGCAAGUCGGACGGUAGGGCUUUAUCGUAAGAUUAGAGUUUGAGAGUGGCGAACGGGUGAGUAACACGUAGGAAUCUACCCGUUAAGACGGGGACAACCCAGGGGAAACUUGGGCUAAUACCGGAUGAGAGUGCGAGAGAUUGCAUUUAAAAGGAUGGCGAAAGUUGUCGCUUAGGGAUGAGCCUGCGGUCUAUUAGUUAGUUGGUGAGGUAAGAGCUCACCAAGGCGAUGAUAGAUAGGCGGCCUUAACGGGUGGUCGCCCACACUGGGAUUGAGAUACGGCCCAGACUCCUACGGGAGGCAGCAGUCGAGAAUAGUCUACAAUGGCCGGAAGGCUGAUAGUGCGACGCCGCGUGAACGAGGGAGCCCUUCGGGGUGUAAAGUUCUUUUCUAUACGAGCAGUGCUAUAUAUAUGGAUAGUAUAUAUAGAGGGAUAGUAGUAUAGGAAUAAGCAACGGCUAACUCCGUG
This 496-nucleotide ribosomal RNA is filed under the name uncultured bacterium. Its description in RNAcentral is "bacterial SSU rRNA". It matches the Rfam family "Bacterial small subunit ribosomal RNA", at positions 29 to 507 of the family's 1533-position model. The record is from RNAcentral.